AAACCAACAGGGAUUGCCUCAGUAACGGCGAGUGAAGCGGCAAAAGCUCAAAUUUGAAAUCUAACACUUUCAGUGUUCGAGUUGUAAUUUGAAGAAAGUUUCUCUGAGUAGUCCUUUAUCUAUGUUCCUUGGAACAGGACGUCAUAGAGGGUGAGAAUCCCGUAUGAUUUUGGAUACUAUUCUUUGUGAGAUUCUUUCGAAGAGUCGAGUUGUUUGGGAAUGCAGCUCUAAGUGGGUGGUAAAUUCCAUCUAAAGCUAAAUAUUGGCGAGAGACCGAUAGCGAACAAGUACAGUGAUGGAAAGAUGAAAAGAACUCUGAAGAGAGAGUGAAAAAGUACGUGAAAUUGCUGAAAGGGAAGGGCUUUAGGUCAGACUUGGUGUUUAAAUGAUUAUCUUCUCUUUUUGAGUUGUGCACUCGUUUUUCACUGGGCCAAUAUCAGUUUUUGUGGUAGAGCACCUACUGGAAUGUAGCUUUUCUUCGGAUGAGUGUUAUAGCCUUUAGACGAUCUAUUUAC
Molecule: ribosomal RNA, 515 nt
Filed under: uncultured Candida
Lineage: Eukaryota; Fungi; Ascomycota; Saccharomycetes; Saccharomycetales
Description: eukaryotic LSU rRNA
Rfam family: Eukaryotic large subunit ribosomal RNA
Source: RNAcentral